AUACGGAGGGGGUUAGCGUUGUUCGGAGUUACUGGGCGUAAAGCGCACGUAGGCGGAUUGGAAAGUUGGGGGUGAAAUCCCAGGGCUCAACCCUGGAACUGCCUCCAAAACUAACAGUCUAGAGGUCGAGAGAGGUGAGUGGAAUUCCAAGUGUAGAGGUGAAAUUCGUAGAUAUUUGGAGGAACACCAGUGGCGAAGGCGGCUCACUGGCUCGAUACUGACGCUGAGGUGCGAAAGCGUGGGGAGCAAACAGGAUUAGAUACCCCAGUGGUCC
Molecule: ribosomal RNA, 274 nt
Filed under: uncultured bacterium
Lineage: Bacteria
Description: partial 16S ribosomal RNA
Rfam family: Bacterial small subunit ribosomal RNA
Source: RNAcentral